RNAcentral lists this long non-coding RNA (6277 nucleotides) under Homo sapiens (human). RNAcentral's name for it is "HSALNT0361326". Lineage: Eukaryota; Metazoa; Chordata; Mammalia; Primates; Hominidae. The record is from RNAcentral.
GGAACUGCCACAGCCCUCUUUGGGCACAGGGUUCAGACAGUACGCCGGAGCGAAGGGGCGCCACUACAACCUCUUGAGGUCCUUAUCCAGGACCCAUGCGGCCCGGAGUGCAAAGCCUCCUGGCGAAGAACAGCAAGAGCCCGCGGAAGGGACAGCGCGGAUGGCCCGAGCCCUGGACCUGGGGAGCUGUGGCCUCAAGUGGACCGCGCCCCCCUGCCGGCUUGGCGCCUGACCGGGCCGCGACCCCAGACUCCCGCGGAGGGGCCGGGGCAGGGACGGAGCAAAGCCGAGAGGAGCAGGACUCACUAGUCCCCCAGAGGACCAAGACCCCGGCGUUUCGGGUUUACCAAGCACGGCCACAUCCCAGUCUACUUUGAGCUUCACAGCCACCCUUGAGUCAGGCAAGGAAGGUAACAUUCCUUUUCCCAUUUCAGCAGGUAGAAAAUUCAAGCUCAGAGAGGGGAGGUAUCUGCAGAGAGGGGAAGUCACCCUGCAGGUAGGAAGCAGCAGAGUCCCUACUCGGCCCGACACGCUAGCACGGCCGACUGGGGCGCGGCGUGGAUUCCUCUAGGCUGGGGUCACCAACUUCUCAAGGGGCAAAGGAGAGUCCUAGCCCCCGCCCAAAGAAUUUGUGCCUGUUCAUGAUGAAUCACGCUAGACACGUUUGUCACCCGUUUGUGCUCUUUCAUCACAGCUUCUUCUCUUUCUUACUUCUCUCCUGGGGGCCAAACUGGGAAGGAAAGGCUAAGCCACGGGGCUUCCUGCUUCGUGCUUGUGGGUUUCUGGGGUCCUACUAACCACUCCUCUAAUCGAAUGUCCUGAAGCCCAGCGACUCGACGGAGAGGCCAAAGGUGCGAGACCACUAGCCAAACAGGCUUCUAGUCCUCACCUCCCGGCAAUUCGCUGUGUGAAGGUGGGCGAGUCAUGUCCCAUCUCUCGAGUCCCCAUCUUAGAGCCGGUCCCCAGCAGACCUUUAAGCUUCCUUCCUACUCUGCCAUAUGGCUCUGAGCUCCGGUGCAAAGGCGGCUGGGCAGUGGGUCGCGCGGACCUUGCCCAGAGUGGUCUGUCUGGGCCGCGCACUGCUGGCUUAGCUGCCUUUUCACUCUCGGGACUCAACAGUGGACAUUGCACCUGGGGAAGAAAUGGCCGCGCGGAAGUUAUUUAAGGACUCUUCCUGGAAGGAGUCACCUGAGCGGACCUGAAUUCCAUCUGAGGACGGAGGACAGAUUCCGGGCCCUGACCCUGGCCCUGCUCUUCGCGCAGAUCCAGGACUGGCUAUCAGUCGCUCUGAGGAUGCGACCUACUUGUCGCCAGCUUCCACUUGGUUCCGCGCCAGGACAGGUUUUACUUUCAUUUCUCCCGCGCGCGCCUCCGACUGCUGGGGAGGUCAAGGACAGCUAGGCGUCGGCCCACGGCCAGGGAAGGUCCCGUGGUCUGGACUCGUUCCUUCCAGUCUCCACCAGUCCUGGGGGGUGGGGCGCGGCGGGGGUGUUCGUUCUCCAGAGAACUCUGCGACUGUACCUCGCUGCCACCUCGCUGCCUCCUCGCUGCCCUUUACAAAAGCUCGUGAUUCCGUGGGGGAAACUUGAGCUGUGGCUCUGCCAGGAGGAUCGCGAAGCAAGUGCCCUUGGUUCAAACUCCUCUUUGAGCUGCAGGCAGCUUCAAAAAGGAAAGCAAGCCCAGGAGUGUAGGGAGACUCAGAGGCUAGGCUCUGCCAGCCUCGGGUGCCUAUGCCAGCAACCUCUUGGCUGUGACAAGAAUUCCCACCUGAGAGUCUUGGCAUGCACUUUAUCAGCCUGGUGCACUUUGCCGCUCUGGCACUUAGAGAUCUGUCACUUGAGAACCAAGUCAAUUCUUUAAGUAAAAUCUUGGAUUGGCAGCUCAAAGUAUUUUCCUAGAAAGCCCCUAUCUUGGAGUGAGUGAGUGUGUGCGCGAGCGCGCACCCCGCUUGCAUGGAGAUGUGGUUUCAUCAUGUUGCCCACGCUGGUCUUGAACUCCUGAUCUCAAGAGAUCCACUCGCCUUGGCCUACCAAAGUGCUAGGAUUACAGGUAUGAGCCACUGUGCUCAGCCAAGAAGCAAUUCUGAUUUAUAAGCCUGAAUGAAUUGAUAGUUUUUUCAUUCUUUCAACAAAUAUUUACUGAUUAUAUAUUAUAUACCCAGCACUGUGCUAAGUUCUCAACAUACAGUAAUCACCAAUGCAGUCAUCAACAAACUUACCCUCAACGAGCUUACAGCCUAGUGACGUAGCCAGAUAUAAACAAAUCCUUAUCAGAAUUAUGUAUUUACAUGAUUAUAAACUGUGUUAAGUAUUCUGAAGAAAAAGCAAGACUAGGGGGAUCUAAUAUUCGAAAUGGAGGAAACAGCAUGUGCAAACACUCAGAGAUGGGAAAGAACUUGGUACAUUAGAAAAAAUGAAAGGAGUCCUGUUUGAUAGGAAUGCAUAGAAUGAUAGAGAAAAGAGGCCUGAAAUGAGAUUAAAGAGGUCAUCAGGGUCAGAGUAAAUAGGACCCUUUCCGACAUGAAGAUUUUGCACUUUAUUUAUGGUGACAUGGAAAACUAUUGACAGGUUUGAAGACAGGAGAGACAUGAUCUGAUAUACAUUUAUUUAAACAAUCGUUUUGGCUAUGGAAUGUGGUAGAUAGAUUAGAAAGGUGCAAGAAAGGAAGCAGCACGGUGGUGGUACUCUGGAGAGACUGCAGAGAGUCUAGUCCCCCCAUAACAUUUAUUAUACCCCCUCCCCACAUACACAUACUCAUUCCAUCCUAAAGUUCACCAGCUUCACUGACAUACACUCUGUUCAGUAGCACACGGCCUGCUCUCAGAAGAGCCCACACUUGGUGGAAUGCUCUGCUGAAGCUGUUUUGAAAUUCUCCAACAUUUCUGAACAGGCAGUCCUACAUUUUCAUUUUGCACUGGACUCCACAUAUUAUGUAGCCAGUCCUGCUCAUCAAACAUGUGAUCUAAGUAAAAGUAGCUUGUAAACUCUUACAGUACCUAUAUAUACUGUAGCUGCUAAUGUCAGGGGUACUUCAAAUGAAUGUUAAGAUUCAACCAUUCAUCUCAUCACACAUGGACCGCAACUGCAGGACACUUCCUUUUUUUUUUUUUUUUUUUUUGAGAUGGACUCUUGCUCUGUUGCCCAGGCUGGAGUGCAGUGGUGCCAUCUCGACCCACUGCAAGCUCUGCCUCCUGGGUUCACGCCAUUCUUUUGCCUCAGCCUCCUGAGUAGCUGGGACUACAGGUGCCCGCCACCACUCCUGGCUAAUUUUUUGUAUUUUUAGUAGAGACAGGGUUUCACCGUGUUAGCCAGGAUGAUCUCGAUCUGCUGACCUCAUGAUCCGCCCAACUUGGCCUCCCAAAGUGCUGCGAUUACAGGCGUGAGCCACCACACCUGGCCAGGACACUUUCUACGUCAUCUAUGAAGCCUUUUCUUUGCACCCCAAACACACACUCAAGGUAGAAAUGGUGUGUUUGCUAUACAAAUUUAAUUUUGAGACAGGUUCAAUAACCUGCUUACUGUCCUUAACUUUUACCUAUAUAGAAAGUUUGAAACCAUCGGUGAAGCUGGGAAAACAGUUAAGAACCUAUUGCAAUAAUAAAGGUAGAAGGUGAUAACGGCUCAAACUAGUGGGGUGGCAGUGAGGGUGGAGAGAAGCGGACAUAUUUGGGAAGUAGGAACAAUAGGACUGAGUGAUGAAUGUGGGGCUGAGAGGCAGCUGUCAAGGGUAAGAUUCAUUAAAUUUCUUGCUUAGGGAACUAAAUGGUUGAAAAUAUAGCAAUGGAUCAGGGAAUUUUCCACCACAGCUGCAUAGUCUCCUUUGUUAUGCUUUGGUAGAGACGAUCUGAAGAGGCCUCAGCCCUGCCUGGUGAUGUUUGCUCAAGUCUGACUCUCAUACUGCCUCCUUGAACUACUGUGGCUAACCACAGCAAGCACUUGAAAUGACUGUACAGAUCAAACCACUUACUCCGCAAUAGCCCACUAGGGGCAAUGGGCUGAUAAGCCUUGCUCACUGAUAAUUAGCUCUAUUUUGUCUUUUUUAAAAUUUUUUAUUUUAAUUUUUUGAACGGGAGUUUCACUCUUGUUGCCCAGGCUGGAGUGCAAUGGCGCGAUCUUGGCUCACUGCAACCUCUGCCUCCUGGGUUCAAGCAAUUCUCUUGCCUCAGCCUCCCAAGUAGCUGGGAUUACAGGCACCUGCCACCAUGCCCAGCUAAUUUUUGUGUUUUUAGUAGAGACAGGGUUUCACCAUGUUGGUCAGGCUGGUCUUGAACUCCUGACCUUAGGUGAUCCACCUGCCUCGGCCUCCCAAAGUGCUGGGAUUACAGGUGUGAGCCACCGCAUUCCAUCUAUUUCGUCUUCUAAAGCAAAAAAGAAAGGUAUCUGCCACAUACACAUCAUGAUAGUGUUACAUACCCUUCUUCCCUUCCUGCUCCCAUCAGCCUUCAGGAAAACAAAUCUGGGCUUGCUUUACUCUCUCUCUCUUUGGUGAAAGGUGAUGGUGGUUAUUGUAGGGGAUGGUCUGGCUUUCAGCCAACCUCAGUAAUCAGGCUGCCUUGUCAGGGCUUAUCAGUUUCAACAGGCUGGCAGCUGUUGGCUGAGAAGCAAAGCACAGCUUUAGUGUAUACAAAAUAUGUUCACAUGUAUAUACAAACACACAGUGCCUUUCUACAUGUACCUAGGAUAUGUUAAAAUCUCUGUGUGACAAAAUGGGCAUUUGCAAAUGGACUGGAAGUCUACUUAUGACAGUAACAGAUGAAAUAUGCCUAAAAGCAGAAUAGCAUUUGAUUCUAGGCUUAAAAACAAUAAACUUUGAUUUUAAAAAAUUAAAAUAAUUUAAAUGAGUACUUGCAAAUGAAAUAAAAGCCAAGACAUUUAAAAGGUAAAACAAGACCCCUUACCACUACAAAAUUAACUCAAAAUGGGUCAAAGUACUAAAGAGCUAAAACUAUGAAGGAAACCAGUAAAUCUUCAUCUCACCUUUAAUAUGGCAAUAAUUUUUUAGAUAUAACACUAAAAGCAUAGAAACAAACUAAAAAAGUGGACUUUAUCAAAAUUAAAAACUUUUUUGAGCCAAAGGACAUUAUCAAGAAAAUGAAGUCUGGGUGUGGAAGCUCAUGCCUCUAAUCCUAGUACCUUGGGAGGGCUAGGUGGGAGGAUUGCCUGAGGACAGGAGGUUAAGACCAGCCUGGGCAACAUCAUGAUACAACAUCUCUACAUAAAAAUAAAAUGAAAAAUAAAAUAAAAAUAGGAAAUAUUUGGGGGGGGGAAUAGGGCAUAACAAUUUUAAAAAGAAAAUGAAAAGACAACGUACAGAAUGGGAAAAUAUCUGCAAAUCAUAUAUCUGACAAGGACUAGUAUCCAGAAUAUAUAAAGAACUCUUACAACUCAACCUCAAAAAGACAAAGAAUCAAUUAAAAAAUGGGCAAAGGACUUGAAUAGACAUUUCUCCAAAGAAGAUUUAGCAAUGGCCAAUAAACACAUGAAAAGAUCCUCAACAUCAUUAGUCUUUAGGGAAAGGCAAAACAGGACCACAAUGAGAUAUCACUUCACACUAAGAUAGCUAUAACAAAACAUAAACAACAGGAAAACAAGAGUUGACAAAGAUGCAGAGAAAUCAGAACCCUAGUGCAUUGCUGGUGAAAAUGUAAAAUGAUGCAGCCACUGUGGAAAACAGUAGUAACAGAACUACUUAAUCCAGUAAUUCCAAUCCCAAGAAUAUAUCCCCAAAAUUGAAAACAGGUACUCAAAUACAUGUACAUGCAUGUUUGAAGCAGCACUAUUCACAAUGCCAAAAGGUGGAAACAACCCAUAUGUCCAUAUGGGUUGUUCCAGAUAAACAAAAUAUGGUAUAUACAUAUGAUAUGGUUUGGCUGUGUCCUCACCCAAAUUUCAUCUUGAAUUGUACCCCAUAAUUCCCACCUGUCAUGGGAGGGAUCCGGUGGAAGGUAAUUGAAUCAUGGGGGCGGGUCUUUCUCCUGCUGUUGUGGUGAUAGUGAAUAAGUUUUAUGAGAUUUGAUGGUAUAAAGGAGAGUUCUGCAUAAGCUCUCUUGUCUGCCGCUUUGCUCUCCUUGCCUUCCGCCAUGUGGAACUGUGAGUCAAUUAAACCUCUUCUCUUUAUAAAUUACCUAGUCUCGGGUAUGUCUUUAUUAGCACCGUGAGAACAGUCUAACACAAUAUACAAUGGAAUAUUAUUGAGUCAUAAAAAAUAAUGAAGUAUUGAUACUUCAAUGUGAUGCUACAACCUUGUACUGUAUCUGCCCGUAAACAAGCUGAGAACA